AACAUAACAUGUUUGCAUGAUUAUUUGGUGGUGGAUAGCAAUACCCCUAACUCGUUUUUCUUAAUUUGUGAGCUACUUAAUAUCUAUUUCUGUCCUGUUUUUGUUCGAUUUAAUUUAAAUAGAAAAUCAACUCUAAAAAUCCCAAAAAUUUGUAGAAGUGUAGCUCUGUGUGCUAGUGUUUGCUUAUAAAAUUUCGUAGACUUUAGAUUAGUGUAAGUCAGUCUAAUAAUUAUUUUUCGGUGGCUGGUCAGUAGGGACAACAACCGGUUUUUUUGACAUUUUAAGUAGUUAGAUAAAACAAUCUUCUGCGGGAAAGACCCUUAUUUUCAUAUGCUACAAUUGACAAAUCUUAGCUUUAAUAAGGAAAAUCAAUAGGACAUUUGUGUGCUACUUUGUGGUGUGUUUUUAAUCCUAUCACAUGUGUCAAGCUUGAAAAUUCUCUCCACAUGAGGGGGUGUGUUGAGAAUGAAUUCCACAUUGAUGAGAGGAAUGACCUUGCAUGAACUUAUAAGUAAGUUGAACUAUUCCCCAUAUUACUAAUUGGUUUGAUUGUGAAACCUCGAUUUUUUUCACUAUUCGCCCCUCUGGUCAUGUCAUAAAAAGAUCAAAGCAAGAAAGUCUCCGCUACCAAAAUUGCCUCACACUUAAUGUGCAAAAUAUUCAAAUUAGACAUUCCUUCAAGAAGAGAGGUCACUCUGGAGAAUAAGUUAUUACUCAAGCUUGUAGUAUGUGUAAGUAACAAAGGUAAUGAAAUAGUUUCCGCGAUGAACUUUGCACCCUCCUAAAUAAUUGAGCCUGCAAUAUUAAAAACAGUAAUGAAGUUGAAACUUGUUAAGAGUAUCAAUUUUAUAUUAGGGAAAUGAGAGACUUUAGAUGUGCUUAUACGUAAUUGGGAUACUCCCCAUAUUGACAAUUAGUUUUAUGGUGAAACUUCGACUUUCUUCAUUGUAUAGAGCAUAUUGCGCCGCAUGUGAAGCUCAACAACAGCAUGUAAGGAGGCGUGUUUAAAGUGAAUCCUACAUCCUAGAAAAGUGGGGCCUUACUUGUGCUUAUAAGUAAAUUGACUACUCCCAACUUUUUUCAUAACCUAAGAGCUACAUUCUUGCGUUUGGUACACUUACAAAUUUGAUAUCGAGUCGAAAUUGAUUUAUCAAAACAUAAAUUGUGGUUUGACCCCCUGGACUCUUACUCCAUUUGAAAUUGACCUCCUGAACUAUUUGUUUUGGUAAAUUAACCCCUUGAAAUAUUUGACAUAAGCUAAUUAACCCUUUGUCAUUAGAUUCCGUGUAUUAUUCUGUCGAAUUCAAGGGAAAAGUAGUCUUUUUAUCAUCAAUCCUUACAUGUCACUUAUAACCACCAAUAAAAUUAUGACAUGUGGACUUAAUAAUGUGUAAUGAUAAUAUGAAAUGGUCCUUAUGUAAACAUUUCGUUACUUUAUGUUUCUUAUUAUGCUAUAAGUUUUUGAAUUAUUCCGUGUCCACGUGUCAUUAUUUUAUUGAUAGUUAUAAUUGACAAGUAAGAAUUGAUGAUGAAAAGACUAAUUUGUCCUUGAAUUUAACGGAAUAAUGGACGGAAUCUGCUGCAAUGGGUUAAGUGGCUGAUUUUAAAUAGUUCAGGGAGCUAAUUUACCAAAAAAAUAAUUCAAGGGUCAAUUUCAACUAGAGUGAUAGUUUAGGAGGUUAAACUGCAAUUUAUCCUUUUAUCAAAUUAUGCACAUAGCAGUUGAGAAAAAGGGUGUGCAGUCUAGUCCUAGAAACCAAGUCAGGAAUAGCUCUUGUUGUUGAAUGCUGUCUUUUAUUGGACAAAGGCUUAACUGUUAACAGGGAAGACAUGUUUAAUUAGGCCUCAUUUGGCAGCUCGGACUGUACUGACUAUUUAUGUCGGAUAGGAUAAAUAGCCACCGGAUAGAACUGACUAAAUUAGUCGGACGUUUGGUGCAGUAUCGGAUUAAUGACCGUAUUAUUUAUACUGUGUUUGGUUUUAUACCGGAUAGGCUAAAUCAAACUUAAAAUUAAAUUAAACUUAUAAAAAUAAAAAUAAAA
This 2042-nucleotide long non-coding RNA is filed under the name Malus domestica (apple). RNAcentral's name for it is "long non-coding RNA (MDOM_LNC013641)". The record is from RNAcentral. Lineage: Eukaryota; Viridiplantae; Streptophyta; Magnoliopsida; Rosales; Rosaceae.